GCCCUUUCCAGUUACAAUGGCCUGAACAAAGAAUCCAAACAUCGAGAACAUUGCAAGCCUUCCAUUCUUGAUCUCCUUCACCUUCAACUCAGCGAAUGCAUCAGGAUCAUCUGCCAAUCCUAGAGGGUCGAAUGCUCCACCAGGGUAAAGUGGGUCAAGGCCUUCGCCAAGAGGUCCUCCUCCAACCCGGUAUCCUUCAAUUAAUCCCAUGAGCACAACCUAACAGCAGAAGAAGCAACUUAGGUUGAACAAUAACCAAGUUUCGCUUCUGGGGCGAGUAAAUAGUGAAGCAGUAUACAUACAUUCAUACAUACAUACAUACAUACAUACAUACAUAUAUAUGUAUAUUCUGACUUAUAUAGAAGCAAUAUGCUAGAAUGUUGUACUAAAUCUAAGAUACUGAAUUCAUUUAAACAGACCUUGUUAGCUGUUAUCCCUAAUAUUUGUUGGAAUGAAUCUCAUUGAACAUGAGAAAGGAUUGUUUCUUCUGAAUAAACUCCAAGGAAUUGUCAUGCCAUUUUCAAAUUACAUAUGCCAUUUAACCGACAAAAUAUAGGAUGCGGUCGUUGAAGACUAGAUUUAAUUAUCCUGUGAAAAUAAUUUUACUUAAGCAUAACACAGUUAAUCAUACCUGGCAGGCCCAGAUGGCAAGGAUGCUCUGUGCAUGGAUGAGGUUGGGGUUGCCCAAGUAGUCAAGACCGCCUUCAGAGAAGAUCUGCGCUCCAGCCUUGAACCAGACGGCCUCGCCGAACUUGACACCAUUCUUCUGGAGGAUCUCGGGGAAGACGCACCCGAGGGCACCGAGCAUGGCCCACCUGCAAUGGAUGACUUCAAGCUCACGGUUCUUGGCGAACGUCUCGGGGUCUGCAGACAAACCAGCAGUGUCCCAGCCAUAGUCACCGGGGAAUUCACCAGUCAAGUAGGACGGGGUCUGCUCCGAGAAAGGGCCCAAGUAUUUCGGGCGGUCCGGUCCGUACCUGUCGAUAAAAUUGCGAGUUCACUUGGGUAAGAAUUCACUGUUGACUAUUCCUAAAUGAAAGUGACGUCACUGUCCUGGAAGGAAUGAUCAUUUUUAAGAGUCUGUAAAGCAACAGGAGGAGAGCUUGAGAGAUCAAGCCCAAGCAUGGAAGAUUCCCAGCUCAUGCUUGUCCGUAAAUGGACAUAAACAGUUCAUUUUUUCCAUUCAUGAUGCUCCAUCUUAGAAUAACUUUUAAUAUAACACAAAAUUUGAUUCACUAAAUGUUGAUGUAGCUGUCAGUCCUUUGCUUGUUCACUUUUCUGAAAUGGUGCAAUCGAGUAGGCCAUAAGCUCGAGGCCACGAGAUAAAAAUAAAACAUCAAGUGAACUAAGCUACUAAGCACCGAAAACAAACAAGAGCGCUAGACGUUUAC
RNAcentral lists this long non-coding RNA (1391 nucleotides) under Eucalyptus grandis. RNAcentral describes it as "long non-coding RNA (EGRA_LNC000147)". Lineage: Eukaryota; Viridiplantae; Streptophyta; Magnoliopsida; Myrtales; Myrtaceae. The record is from RNAcentral.